GAAGCCACCUGGCAGGGGAGAUACCAUGAUUACGAAAGUAGUUUUUCCAGGGCCAGUCUUAUCCAUUGCAUUCCAGAUGUGCUGAUCCCUGCGAUUUCGCCAAAUGUGGGAAACUUGACUGCAUAAUUUGUGGUAGUGGGGGACUGCAUUCACGCUUUUCCCUG
Small nuclear RNA from Saimiri boliviensis boliviensis (Bolivian squirrel monkey), 164 nucleotides. Its record names the gene U1. It matches the Rfam family "U1 spliceosomal RNA". Rfam says of the family: U1 is a small nuclear RNA (snRNA) component of the spliceosome (involved in pre-mRNA splicing). Its 5' end forms complementary base pairs with the 5' splice junction, thus defining the 5' donor site of an intron. There are significant differences in sequence and secondary structure between metazoan and yeast U1 snRNAs, the latter being much longer (568 nucleotides as compared to 164 nucleotides in human). The record is from Ensembl. Lineage: Eukaryota; Metazoa; Chordata; Mammalia; Primates; Cebidae.